Molecule: ribosomal RNA, 331 nt
Filed under: uncultured eukaryote
Lineage: Eukaryota
Description: partial 18S ribosomal RNA
Rfam family: Eukaryotic small subunit ribosomal RNA
Source: RNAcentral
CCCUUAGAUGUUCUGGGCUGCACGCGCGCUACACUGAUGCACUCAACGAGUUUACGAGCUUGUCCGAGAGGAUUGGCUAAUCUUUUUAAAAUGCAUCGUGAUGGGGAUAGAUUAUUGCAAUUAUUAAUCUUCAACGAGGAAUUCCUAGUAAGCGCGAGUCAUCAGCUCGUGCUGAUUACGUCCCUGCCCUUUGUACACACCGCCCGUCGCUACUACCGAUUGAAUGAUUUAGUGAGGACUUCGGACUGGGACCGAUGCGGCUUUCGGGCUGCGUCGGUAUUCUGGAAAGAUGUCCAAACUGUAUCAUUUAGAGGAAGUAAAAGUCGUAACA